GACGAACGCUGGCGGCGUGCUUAACACAUGCAAGUCGAACGGAAAGGCCCUGCUUUUGUGGGGUGCUCGAGUGGCGAACGGGUGAGUAACACGUGAGUAACCUGCCCUUGACUUUGGGAUAACUUCAGGAAACUGGGGCUAAUACCGGAUAGGAGCUCCUGCUGCAUGGUGGGGGUUGGAAAGUUUCGGCGGUUGGGGAUGGACUCGCGGCUUAUCAGCUUGUUGGUGGGGUAGUGGCUUACCAAGGCUUUGACGGGUAGCCGGCCUGAGAGGGUGACCGGCCACAUUGGGACGGAGAUACGGCCCGGACUCCUACGGGAGGCAGCAGUGGGGAAUAUUGCACAAUGGGCGGAAGCCUGAUGCAGCAACGCCGCGUGCGGGAUGACGGCCUUCGGGUUGUAAACCGCUUUCGCCUGUGACGAGGCGUGAGUGACGGUAAUGGGUAAAGAAGCACCGGCUAACUACGUG
Molecule: ribosomal RNA, 468 nt
Filed under: uncultured bacterium
Lineage: Bacteria
Description: partial 16S ribosomal RNA
Rfam family: Bacterial small subunit ribosomal RNA
Source: RNAcentral